Long non-coding RNA from Erinaceus europaeus (western European hedgehog), 1241 nucleotides. RefSeq lists it as uncharacterized. The record is from RefSeq and is a predicted model, not a curated record. The transcript has 3 exons. Lineage: Eukaryota; Metazoa; Chordata; Mammalia; Eulipotyphla; Erinaceidae.
CCACGUCAAGGCUGGAAAUCACAGCCCUGGAGUGUGGCUCAGUCCCGGCAGCAGCAGGAUGGGGGGAUAGGAGGAGGCCAGCCUAGUGCAGGAGGGAAGCCUCUGACCCAGCAUCAGGAGAGGACUGUUAAGUGCCUGCAUGGAAGCUUCUGGAGCUCCUGCUCCGUCGGCCCAGUGUUCAGACUACCUGUUCAGGACAAUGCCGUUGUACAGUAGUCUGCACAUUGGUUAGACUGGGCAAGGCAGAACAACGCUGGCCGACAGGAACCACACUGCUGCUUCCAAGGAGAAGACAUGUGUAUGCCUCUUUUCCCAAUCUCAUACCCAGUGUUUUUCUCCACAGGUUUUGCACACUAGGGACCAAGGAGGCCGCGGGGGAUCUUUGGAAAAGAGACGGCUACGGGGCAGACCUGCAGGAUGACUUGUAGUCUGGAAACAGAGUGAACCUGAGAGUGUCCUGGGCGUGAGUACAGGAAUAGAAAUAGAAGAAUUUAUUUAUUAAGGGGUAACUGCAGUUCUUGACGAUUUCUGAUGUAAACUUUUAAUAAAGGAAAAAGGAACCGUAUUUCUCUUUGAAUUGUAUGAGCUAAAUCAAAGAUCAAGAGUAAAAGCUCACUUUAUAAAACUUUUCCUGAAGCAGCAGGAUAGUUCAGGUGCUGGUGAAUUUAUCAGCGUGUAUACACACACACACACACACACACACACACACACACACACACACGGUAAUUAAUGUUUAAUUGUAUCUUGAUAUUACUUCAUAAGACAUUAUACAAAUAUUUUAGGGAUCAUGGAAUCUCUUCCAAAGGAAAUUAAUCAACAAUGAACGUCGUCAACUAAAACUACCCCGGAUGUAAUGACUGGUUGUCUCUGCCCAUGAGCAAAGGAAACCCGAAGGAACCAGGCCCUGGCUGGACGGAGUUGUCAUGUGUCUGCCUGUCUACACUUGCUGUGCAGAACAUCCGCUCACCUGUACAGCAGGCACAGACAGGCAGUCACAUGACAACCCAGCCUGAGUGACAUCCAGCCACUGACAGAGAGCAGUCCUCACAACAUAGCAUCUCCACCAAGAGCUGCAGCCAAACCAAGGGGUGUUGGGGCCUGGGCUUUUCAUCUGUUCAUGGAAUACUUAACUCGCAUGUAUUUAUUAUUAUUAUUUUACUUUGGUUCUAAUACUGAAACCCAUUUCCAAAAGUACAGUGAGUGGUGCAUAUGAAAUACAAUAAAACCCAUUUCUGAAAAUG